GGGCCGGUAGCUCAGUUGGUAGAGCAUACAUCUAGUAUAGAAAUGUUCUAGGUUUGACUCCUAGCCAGUGCA
This is a non-coding RNA of Trichophaea hybrida, 72 nucleotides long. Lineage: Eukaryota; Fungi; Ascomycota; Pezizomycetes; Pezizales; Pyronemataceae. The record is from the annotation of a GenBank genome assembly.